CAGUAGUCCCUUCCGAUCUAACGCAUCCUUUUGGCUGCUUACGUCUCCUUCAGCUUCCCGGAGCUCUGCACCAUUCCCAACAUAUGACUUCUCACAGCGUCCCACCUGUGUGCACCUUCCCCCUGCAAAAAAUAACCGCUCCUUCAUUCCGUAGUUGCUGUGAACCCUGCGGGCUGUAGGGCCACCUUAUGUAGUAACCAUUGGCGUCACUUCCUGCCAGGGUCGGGCUGUCCUAAGGGGUGGCAAGGGAAGCCAAGGAGCCGCAGAAGGUCUGGAUCCAGGCCGGCUUGAGUGUCAAGUCGGCUGUGAACUCGUCCUUUGCGUCACAGGAGCAACACUUCCACCCUCCAUCCUCCAGCGCUCCCAAGAGACUCAAGACACCACACACUCCAAAGGCAGCCGUCCAGUUAAGCAAAACAGCCCCAGGAAGCAGAUGCAGACCACAGAAAGAAAAGAACCGAGGCGCCCCCAGAGACAGCUGUGUGCUAAGGUCACAGCUCAAAAGUGGCUUUUUCAACGGGGCUGUUCCAAUCCAUCCUGCCAAGCCAGCCAUGCUUACUGUGCGUUACACGUGGUGAUCGUCCACCUCCUUCCACUAAAGUGUUGAUUGCAUGAGGCAGGAUGGGUUUCCUUCACUGCCAGCACUUCAGAUGAUGCCCGAGGCAAAACUGCUUCCAGCCAUCCAUGAACAAGUCUCCUGGUCCCUACAUUCAAGAUGUACACCAAAUCCGCCCUUGUAUCAGCCUCUCCCCCAACUUGGCUUCUACAUGAGCUUCCGGAAUGAGUCUCCAGAAUCCACAGUGGCUGUCCACAGCCCAGUCUACACAGCAACUAAUAAUCAUUUUAAAAAAUAAGAUAAAUCAGACGAAACGACUCGAAACCUCUGACCACUGUGUGAAG
Peromyscus maniculatus bairdii (prairie deer mouse) is the source of this 900-nucleotide non-coding RNA. The record is from RefSeq and is a predicted model, not a curated record. Lineage: Eukaryota; Metazoa; Chordata; Mammalia; Rodentia; Cricetidae.